RNAcentral lists this ribosomal RNA (1487 nucleotides) under uncultured bacterium. RNAcentral's name for it is "bacterial SSU rRNA". It matches the Rfam family "Bacterial small subunit ribosomal RNA". The record is from RNAcentral.
AGAGUUUGAUCCUGGCUCAGGAUGAACGUUGGCGGUGUGCCUAAUACAUGCAAGUCGAACGAAGAGCACGAAGUAGCAAUACAUUGUGUUUCUUAGUGGCGAACGGGUGAGUAACGCGUUGGUAACCUGCCCCGAAGUGGGGGAUAACAGUUCGAAAGAACUGCUAAUACCCCAUGUUAUCAUAGAGAUUAGAUGCUCAAUGAUCAAAGGAUUUAUUCGCUUCGGGAGGGGCCUGCGUCCCAUCAGCUAGUUGGUAGGGUAAUGGCCUACCAAGGCUAUGACGGGUAGGGGACCUGAGAGGGUGGCCCCCCACAAUGGAACUGAAACACGGUCCAUACACCUACGGGUGGCAGCAGUAGGGAAUAUUGGUAAUGGGCGAAAGCCUGAACCAGCAACACCGCGUGUGCGAUGAAGGCCUUCGGGUUGUAAAGCACUUUUCGGGAGGAUGAGAAAGGACAGUACUCCUGGAAUAAGUCUCGGCUAACUACGUGCCAGCAGCCGCGGUAAAACGUAGGAGGCGAACGUUAUCCGGAUUUACUGGGCGUAAAGCGCGUGCAGGUGGUUUGGUAAGUUGGGCGUGAAAGCUCCCGGCUCAACUGGGAGAGGUCGUUCAAGACUGCCGGACUAGAGGAUGGUAGAGGGAGGUGGAAUUCCGGGUGUAGCGGUGGAAUGCGCAGAUAUCCGGAGGAACACCAGUGGCGAAGGCGGCCUCCUGGACCAUUCCUGACACUCAGACGCGAAAGCUAGGGUAGCAAACGGGAUUAGAGACCCCGGUAGUCCUAGCCGUAAACGAUGUAGACUUGGUGUCGGUGGUUUAAUAUCCAUCGGUAUCGAAGCUAACGCGAUAAGUCUACCGCCUGGGGACUACGGCCGCAAGGUUAAAACUCAAAGGAAUUGACGGGACCCCGCACAAGCAGCGGAGCGUGUGGUUUAAUUCGACGCAACGCGAAGAACCUUACCUGGGCUUGACAUCCCGAGAAUUUUCUGGAAACGGAGAAGUGCCUCAACCGAGGAGCUUGGAGACAGGUGCUGCAUGGCUGUCGUCAGCUCGUGUCGUGAGAUGUUGGGUUAAGUCCCGCAACGAGCGCAACCCUCGCCUUUAGUUGCCAUCAUUAAGUUGGGCACUCUAAAGGGACUGCCGGUGUCAAACCGGAGGAAGGUGGGGAUGACGUCAAGUCCUCAUGGCCUUUAUGUCCAGGGCUACACACGUACUACAAUGGUCGGUACAAAGGGCAGCGACCUUGCGAGAGGGAGCGAAUCCCAUAAAGCCGAUCUCAGUCCGGAUCGGAGUCUGCAACUCGACUCCGUAAAGUUGGAAUCGCUAGUAAUCGUGGAUCAGCAUGCCACGGUGAAUACGUUCCCGGGCCUUGUACACACCGCCCGUCACACCACGAAAGUCGGUUGUACCAGAAGUUGCCGGGCUAACCCAAAAGGGGGGCAGGCACCCAAGGUAUGGCUGGUAAUUGGGGUGAAGUCGUAACAAGGUA